RNAcentral lists this transfer RNA (66 nucleotides) under Menida lata. RNAcentral's name for it is "tRNA-Leu". It matches the Rfam family "tRNA". From Rfam's summary of the family: Transfer RNA (tRNA) molecules are approximately 80 nucleotides in length. Their secondary structure includes four short double-helical elements and three loops (D, anti-codon, and T loops). The record is from RNAcentral. Lineage: Eukaryota; Metazoa; Arthropoda; Insecta; Hemiptera; Pentatomidae.
UCUAAUAUGGCAGAUUAGUGCAAUGAAUUUAAGAUUCAUAAAUAAAGAUUAAAUCUUUUAUUAGAA